This 449-nucleotide ribosomal RNA is filed under the name uncultured bacterium. RNAcentral's name for it is "partial 16S ribosomal RNA". It matches the Rfam family "Bacterial small subunit ribosomal RNA", at positions 29 to 523 of the family's 1533-position model. The record is from RNAcentral.
AACGAACGCUGGCGGCAUGCCUAACACAUGCAAGUCGAACGAGAUCUUCGGAUCUAGUGGCGCACGGGUGCGUAACGCGUGGGAAUCUGCCCUUAGGUUCGGAAUAACAGCGAGAAAUUACUGCUAAUACCGGAUGAUGUCUUCGGACCAAAGAUUUAUUGCCCAGGGAUGAGCCCGCGUAGGAUUAGCUAGUUGGUGGGGUAAUGGCCUACCAAGGCGACGAUCCUUAGCUGGUCUGAGAGGAUGAUCAGCCACACUGGGACUGAGACACGGCCCAGACUCCUACGGGAGGCAGCAGUGGGGAAUAUUGGACAAUGGGCGAAAGCCUGAUCCAGUAAUGCCGCGUGAGUGAUGAAGGCCUUAGGGUUGUAAAGCUCUUUUACCAGGGAUGAUAAUGACAGUACCUGGAGAAUAAGCUCCGGCUAACUCCGUGCCAGCAGCCGCGGUAA